RNAcentral lists this ribosomal RNA (506 nucleotides) under uncultured bacterium. RNAcentral's name for it is "partial 16S ribosomal RNA". It matches the Rfam family "Bacterial small subunit ribosomal RNA", at positions 29 to 523 of the family's 1533-position model. The record is from RNAcentral.
AUUGAACGCUGGCGGCAGGCCUAACACAUGCAAGUCGGACGGUAGCACAGAGGAGCUUGCUCCUCGGGUGACGAGUGGCGGACGGGUGAGUAAUGUCUGGGGAUCUGCCCGAUAGGGGGGGAUAACCACUGGAAACGGUGGCUAAUACCGCAUAACGUCGCAAGACCAAAGAGGGGGACCUUCGGGCCUCUCACUAUCGGAUGAACCCAGAUGGGAUUAGCUAGUAGGCGGGGUAAUGGCCCACCUAGGCGACGAUCCCUAGCUGGUCUGAGAGGAUGACCAGCUACACUGGAACUGAGACACGGUCCAGACUCCUACGGGAGGCAGCAGUGGGGAAUAUUGCACAAUGGGCGCAAGCCUGAUGCAGCCAUGCCGCGUGUAUGAAGAAGGCCUUCGGGUUGUAAAGUACUUUCAGCGGGGAGGAAGGCGAUAAGGUUAAUAACCUUGUCGACUGACGUUACCCGCAGAAGAAGCACCGGCUAACUCCGUGCCAGCCGCCGCAGUAA